This 252-nucleotide ribosomal RNA is filed under the name uncultured bacterium. Its description in RNAcentral is "partial 16S ribosomal RNA". It matches the Rfam family "Bacterial small subunit ribosomal RNA", at positions 524 to 776 of the family's 1533-position model. The record is from RNAcentral.
UACGUAAGGUCCGAGCGUUGUCCGGAAUCAUUGGGCGUAAAGGGUACGUAGGCGGUUAGAAAAGUUAGAAGUGAAAGGCUAUAGCUCAACUAUAGUAAGCAUUUAAAACUGGUCAUCUUGAGGUAUGGAAGGGAAAGUGGAAUUCCUAGUGUAGCGGUGAAAUUCGCAGAGAUUAGGAGGAAUACCGGUGGCGAAGGCGGCUUUCUGGACAUAAACUGACGCUGAGGUACGAAAGCGUGGGUAGCAAACAGG